This 253-nucleotide ribosomal RNA is filed under the name uncultured prokaryote. RNAcentral describes it as "partial 16S ribosomal RNA". It matches the Rfam family "Bacterial small subunit ribosomal RNA", at positions 524 to 776 of the family's 1533-position model. The record is from RNAcentral.
UACGUAGGUGGCAAGCGUUGUCCGGAAUUAUUGGGCGUAAAGCGCGCGCAGGCGGUUUCUUAAGUCUGAUGUGAAAUCUCGUGGCUCAACCACGAACGGUCAUUGGAAACUGGGAGACUUGAGUACAGAAGAGAAGAGCGGAAUUCCACGUGUAGCGGUGAAAUGCGUAGAGAUGUGGGGGAACACCAGUGGCGAAGGCGGCUCUUUGGUCUGUAACUGACGCUGAGGCGCGAAAGCGUGGGGAGCGAACAGG